CCUGGUGUCUAUGGCGGUGUGGACCCACGCUCAUCCCAUCCCGAACUGAGUGGUGAAACGCACCUGCGGUGACGAUAGUUGGUUGGUAGCAACCUGCCAAAAUAACUCGACGCCAGGG
RNAcentral lists this ribosomal RNA (118 nucleotides) under Alkalinema sp. CACIAM 70d. The record is from RNAcentral. Lineage: Bacteria; Bacillati; Cyanobacteriota; Cyanophyceae; Leptolyngbyales; Leptolyngbyaceae.